GUGAGGAAACUAAAGCCCUGGGACGUUUAAUGUCAUAUAGGGCGGCUGCAGAGCUAGGAUGUGCAGUGUGGCCUCUGGGCUCUAACAUCAGUGAGCUUCACUGCUGCACUGUACUGCAUGGAACAGAUUCUGGAAGGGAUUGCAACAAUUUCCAAAGGAGAAGGGAAAGGAGUCCUCCUGCUGGAGCAGGUUGGAAGCCACUGAGCCAGGCUGUCAUCCCGGCUCAGCAGAGACCGAGUCAUGAGACCUGAGGGCAGCUUCUCAAGACCUUCUCACUGACAGAGUGCUUAACCCAUGAACCUCACCAUGGAGCGCACAGAGCCCUGGACCCUCCUUUCUCAGAGCAUGGUGUGAGACUAGCUGCAUCAACUUCACCUGGGAGCCACUUAGAAAUGCAGAAUCUCGGGCCCACUGUAGGCCACUGAAUCAGAAUCUGGAUUUUUCCAAGAUACCAAGUUGAUUACAUUAAUGUCUCAGAAAACUUGGUCUGGAUGAUGCAUGCCUUGGGGAGAUUGGAGGAAAGAAAUUGAAGCUCCCUAAGGGGGCCUCCUCUGAGAGGGAGACUCAUCCACAAGCCUGGUUCGAUGGAAGGAAGUGAACACAGAGGAAAAGACUGAGGAAGGCACUCCAGGAAAAC
Molecule: long non-coding RNA, 637 nt
Organism: Nyctereutes procyonoides (raccoon dog)
Lineage: Eukaryota; Metazoa; Chordata; Mammalia; Carnivora; Canidae
Exons: 3
Source: RefSeq, a predicted model, not a curated record